RNAcentral lists this transfer RNA (70 nucleotides) under Caudoviricetes sp. RNAcentral's name for it is "tRNA-Pro". It matches the Rfam family "tRNA". From Rfam's summary of the family: Transfer RNA (tRNA) molecules are approximately 80 nucleotides in length. Lineage: Duplodnaviria; Heunggongvirae; Uroviricota; Caudoviricetes. The record is from RNAcentral.
GAGUGUGUAUUGUAAUGGUAACAUACCGCAUUUGGGAUGCGGAGUCGCAGUUCGAAUCUGACACACUCUA